UUUACGGAGAGUUUGAUCCUGGCUCAGGAUGAACGCUGGCGGCGUGCUUAACACAUGCAAGUCGAACGGUGAAGCAGAGCUUGCUCUGUGGAUCAGUGGCGAACGGGUGAGUAACACGUGAGCAAUCUGCCCCUGACUCUGGGAUAAGCGCUGGAAACGGCGUCUAAUACCGGAUACGAGCUGCGACCGCAUGGUCAGUAGCUGGAAAGAAUUUCGGUCAGGGAUGAGCUCGCGGCCUAUCAGCUUGUUGGUGAGGUAAUGGCUCACCAAGGCGUCGACGGGUAGCCGGCCUGAGAGGGUGACCGGCCACACUGGGACUGAGACACGGCCCAGACUCCUACGGGAGGCAGCAGUGGGGAAUAUUGCACAAUGGGCGCAAGCCUGAUGCAGCAACGCCGCGUGAGGGAUGACGGCCUUCGGGUUGUAAACCUCUUUUAGCAGGGAAGAAGCGAAAGUGACGGUACCUGCAGAAAAAGCGCCGGCUAACUACGUGCCAGCAGCCGCGGUAAUACGUAGGGCGCAAGCGUUAUCCGGAAUUAUUGGGCGUAAAGAGCUCGUAGGCGGUCUGUCGCGUCUGCUGUGAAAACCCGAGGCUCAACCUCGGGCCUGCAGUGGGUACGGGCAGACUAGAGUGCGGUAGGGGAGAUUGGAAUUCCUGGUGUAGCGGUGGAAUGCGCAGAUAUCAGGAGGAACACCGAUGGCGAAGGCAGAUCUCUGGGCCGUAACUGACGCUGAGGAGCGAAAGGGUGGGGAGCAAACAGGCUUAGAUACCCUGGUAGUCCACCCCGUAAACGUUGGGAACUAGUUGUGGGGUCCAUUCCACGGAUUCCGUGACGCAGCUAACGCAUUAAGUUCCCCGCCUGGGGAGUACGGCCGCAAGGCUAAAACUCAAAGGAAUUGACGGGGACCCGCACAAGCGGCGGAGCAUGCGGAUUAAUUCGAUGCAACGCGAAGAACCUUACCAAGGCUUGACAUAUAGAGGAAACGUCUGGAAACAGUCGCCCCGCAAGGUCUCUAUACAGGUGGUGCAUGGUUGUCGUCAGCUCGUGUCGUGAGAUGUUGGGUUAAGUCCCGCAACGAGCGCAACCCUCGUUCUAUGUUGCCAGCACGUAAUGGUGGGAACUCAUGGGAUACUGCCGGGGUCAACUCGGAGGAAGGUGGGGAUGACGUCAAAUCAUCAUGCCCCUUAUGUCUUGGGCUUCACGCAUGCUACAAUGGCCGGUACAAAGGGCUGCAAUACCGUGAGGUGGAGCGAAUCCCAAAAAGCCGGUCCCAGUUCGGAUUGAGGUCUGCAACUCGACCUCAUGAAGUCGGAGUCGCUAGUAAUCGCAGAUCAGCAACGCUGCGGUGAAUACGUUCCCGGGUCUUGUACACACCGCCCGUCAAGUCAUGAAAGUCGGUAACACCUGAAGCCGGUGGCCCAACCCUUGUGGAGGGAGCCGUCGAAGGUGGGAUCGGUAAUUAGGACUAAGUCGUAACAAGGUAGCCGUACCGGAAGGUGCGGCUGGAUCACCUCCUUU
Molecule: ribosomal RNA, 1520 nt
Filed under: Microbacterium arborescens
Lineage: Bacteria; Bacillati; Actinomycetota; Actinomycetes; Micrococcales; Microbacteriaceae
Also listed under: 3 other names
Description: bacterial SSU rRNA
Rfam family: Bacterial small subunit ribosomal RNA
Source: RNAcentral